Molecule: ribosomal RNA, 434 nt
Filed under: uncultured bacterium
Lineage: Bacteria
Description: bacterial SSU rRNA
Rfam family: Bacterial small subunit ribosomal RNA
Source: RNAcentral
UACGGGAGGAGCAGUAGGGAAUAUUGGGCAAUGGGCGAGAGCCUGACCCAGCCAUGCCGCGUGCAGGAAGAAGGCUUUCUGAGUCGUAAACUGCUUUUGACAGGGAAGAAUAAGCACUACGUGUAGUGUGAUGACGGUACCUGCAGAAUAAGCACCGGCUAACUCCGUGCCAGCAGCCGCGGUAAUACGGAGGGUGCGAGCGUUAAUCGGAAUUACUGGGCGUAAAGGGCACGCAGGCGGUUAAUUAAGUUGGAUGUGAAAUCCCCGGGCUUAACCUGGGAAUGGCAUUCAAGACUGGUUAGCUAGAGUCUUGUAGAGGGGGUAGAAUUCCAUGUGUAGCGGUGAAAUGCGUAGAGAUGUGGAGGAAUACCGGUGGCGAAGGCGGCCCCUGGACAAAGACUGACGCUCAUGUGCGAAAGCGUGGGGAGCAAACG